Molecule: ribosomal RNA, 440 nt
Filed under: uncultured bacterium
Lineage: Bacteria
Description: partial 16S ribosomal RNA
Rfam family: Bacterial small subunit ribosomal RNA
Source: RNAcentral
CCUACGGGUGGCAGCAGUGGGGAAUAUUGCACAAUGGGGGAAACCCUGAUGCAGCGACGCCGCGUGAGUGAAGAAGUAUUUCGGUAUGUAAAGCUCUGUUAGCAGGGAAGAAAAUGACGGUACCUGACCAAGAAGCCCCGGCUAACUACGUGUCAGCAGCCGCCGUAAUACGUAGGGGGCAAGCGUUGUCCGGAUUUACUGGGGGUAAAGGGAGCGUAGACGGCAGGGCAAGUCUGGGGUGAAAGGCGGGGGCUCAACCCCCGGACUGCUCUGGAAACUGCCAGGCUGGAGUGCAGGAGAGGUAAGUGGAAUUCCUAGUGUAGCGGUGAAAUGCGUAGAUAUUAGGAGGAACACCAGUGGCGAAGGCGGCUUACUGGACUGUAACUGACGUUGAGGCUCGAAAGCGUGGGGAGCAAACAGGAUUAGAUACCCUUGUAGUC